CAGGGGAGGUCGGGAAGGAAGAUGGCGGCGCCCAGUCUCCGGCCCGGAGGAGCUGAGAGCGCAGGGCCCCGCUCCUCAGUGCGCCCUCGGCUCAGUCCCUCCCGGCUCCCUGGUCUCCGGCCGCGCUCUGAGCUCACCCGGCCUGUGCCCGAGUGUUUCUGUCUCUGGCGCGGCCCCUUUUGGAGUCUCCAACCCCAGCAGAUUCUUGCCGUGCACGCCUGUCGCACUCCGGGCAGAGGAAGGAGGGGUCUCCAUGGAUCUGCCGCUUGUGUGGUCCCUGCUCGAAGAGCAGUGUCCCGCCUGUGCAUCGCAUCACGGUUUACGAAUGGCUGCUCCUCUUCUCUUCGAUGUCCUGGGAACAGUGGCCUCCGACACUGCUCCCCUCUCCUGGGAACGGAGGCCCAAGGACAUUCCCCUCCUCGCUGCUGCCACCGUCUCCAGCCACCCCCAGAAUAAAAUCUUACUUUCAUCUAUUUCAAGUUAAUUUUUGCGAGCGUUGAAUGAGAGGAGUCCAGUUUCAGAAACCAGUCCUGUCACUGCCCUGGAUGUCGGCCAGUCCCAUAAACGUGUAGUGGUUCCUCACUCUGAUCUUCAUCUCCCUGGUGCUGCAUGAUGUGGACCGUUUUUCACAUGCUUAUUUGUCAUCUGUAUCUCUCCUGUGAUGAGGUGUCUGGCAACAUCUUUGGCCCGUUUUUAAAUUGGCUUCUUGCCUUAUCACUGUGUUAUAAGAGUUUUUCUCUUUUGGAUCAUGGCACCGCAGCAGACAUGGUUUGUCUUCUCAAUCUCUUGACCGUGCCUUUCCCAGAACCAAGGUUUCUAGUUUGAAUCAAGCCCACAUUAUGGAUGUAUUCCUUCAUGGGUUGUGACUUUGGGGUCAGAGCUCAAGAGUCAUCGCCUUGCCAAUGGUCACCUGGGUUUUCUCCUGAGUCAUCUUCUGGAAACCUUAGAAUUUCGCACUUGAGGCCAUAGUUCUAUCCUGAGUUGAUUCUGUGUCUGGAUUCAGCUUGUUUCUCUGCGAGGAUGUCCAGUUGUUCUAGCACCAUUUGCUGAAAAGAGACAGUCUUUGCUCCAUUGUUUCCUGUUUUGUUGGAGAUGAGUUGACAGUGUUUAUAUGGGUCUAUUUCUGGGCUCUGUACCGUGUCCAUCGAUCUCCGUGUAUGUUCUCACCAAUGCCACGCUGUGUUCACAGGUUGAAGUCAGGUACCAUCAGUCCUAUAAUCCUAUUCUGUGCCUUUUUUCUUUUUAAAAGACUUUAUUUAUCUGAGAGAGAGAGAGAGAGAGAGCACAUGAGCGGGAGAGGCAGAGGGAGAGGGAGAAUCCCAGCACUGCCCGGUGAGCCGGGAGCCCAUGUGGGGCUCGAUCUCACGACCCUGAGAUCAUGACCGGAGCUGAAGCCAAGAGCUGGAUGCUUAACUGACUGAGCCACCCGGGUGCCCCUUAGUCUGUUCCUUUAAUAUCGUGUUGACUGUUGUGGGGUUUUGCUUCUCUGUAUAACCUUUAGAUUCACUUUGUUAAUGUUUACAAAGGAACCUGCUGGGAUUUCCCUGGGAUUGUGCCGAUGCAUAGAUCAGUUCGGGAAGAACUGACACCUUGACGAUGUUGAGUCUCACUGUUCAUGACACGGAAUACCUAUCUAGUUCUUUGAUUUCGUUUAUCAGAGUUUUAUAGUUUUUCUCAUAUAGAGCUUGUCAUACUUUGUUAGAUUUAUACCUAAAUAUUCCAUUUUGGGGGUUGUAAUGUAAAUGGUAUUGUGUUCCAAAUUCCCCUCGUUAAAGGGAG
Molecule: long non-coding RNA, 1779 nt
Filed under: Mustela putorius furo (domestic ferret)
Lineage: Eukaryota; Metazoa; Chordata; Mammalia; Carnivora; Mustelidae
Description: lncRNA (ENSMPUG00000028904.1)
Source: RNAcentral